UGGUCAAGUUAUUAAGGGUGCAGGGCGGAUGCCUUGGCACUAGGAGCCGAUGAAGGACGUGAUAAGCUGCGAUAAGCUUCGGGGAGUUGCACGUAAACUUUGAUCCGAAGAUUUCCGAAUGAGGAAACUCACUUAGAGUAAUGUCUAAGUAUCAUUAAGUGAAUACAUAGCUUAAUGAGGGGAACUCAGGGAACUGAAACAUCUAAGUACCUGAAGGAAGAGAAAGAAAUUCGAUUCCGUAAGUAGCGGCGAGCGAACGCGGAUUAGCCCAAACCAAUAAAGUUUUCUUUAUUGGGGUUGAGGACAUACCACAUAUAAGAGGUCAUUAUAGACGAAGAAGUUUGGAAAAACUCAUCAUAGAAGGUAAUAAUCCUGUAGUCAAAAUAAUAAUUCUUUAGGUAUGAUCCAGAGUACCACGGGACACGUGAAACCCUGUGGGAAGCAGGAGGGACCACCCUCCAAGGCUAAAUACUACCUAGUGACCGAUAGCGUAUAGUACCGUGAGGGAAAGGUGAAAAGAACCCCGGGAGGGGAGUGAAAUAGAACCUGAAACCCUGCACUUACAAGCUGUGGAAGCACAUUUCUUGUGUGACCGCGUACUUUUUGUAGAACGGGCCAACGAGUUACGUUAAGUAGCAAGGUUAAGCACUUAAGGUGCGGAGCCGUAGCGAAAGCGAGUUUUAACUGAGCGUUCAGUUACUUGACGUAGACCCGAAACCGGGCGACCUACCCAUGAGCAGGAUGAAGCGAAAGUAAAAUUUCGUGGAGGUCCGAACCCACGAGCGUUGAAAAGCUCGGGGAUGACUUGUGGGUAGCGGUGAAAUUCCAAUCGAGCCCGGAGAUAGCUGGUUCUCCCCGAAAUAGCUUUAGGGCUAGCCUCAAGGUGAGAGAUACGGAGGUAGAGCACUGAAUGUCCUAGGGGGUAUUGCACCUACCGAAGACUAUCAAACUCCGAAUGCCGUCAUCUUAUACUUGGGAGUCAGACUGUGGGUGAUAAGAUUCAUAGUCGAAAGGGCAACAGCCCAGAUCGUCAGCUAAGGUCCUUAAAUGUAAGUUAAGUGGUAAAGGAUGUGGGAUUGCACAGACAACCAGGAUGUUGGCUUAGAAGCAGCCACUCAUUCAAAGAGUGCGUAAUAGCUCACUGGUCGAGUGAUCCUGCGCCGAAGAUUUCCGGGGCUAAAACUUACUACCGAAGCUACGGCAUCAGUAAUGAUGGGUAGGGGAGCUUCCCAUACGGGUUGAAGCAUGACCGUAAGGACAUGUGGACAGUAUGGGAGUGAGAAUGUUGGCAUGAGUAGCGAGAUGUGGGUGAGAAUCCCACAGGCCGUAAACCCAAGGUUUCCAGGGGAAGGUUCGUCCGCCCUGGGUUAGUCGGGACCUAAGCUGAGGCCGAAAGGCGUAGGUGAUGGACAACAGGUUGAUAUUCCUGUACUACCGAUAACCGUUUGAGAGAAGGGAUGACACAGUAGGAUAAGCUAAGCACACUGUUGGUUAUGUGUGCCCAAGCAUUGAGGCAGUCAAAGUAGGCAAAUCCGCUUUGAUAAUGCUGGGAUGUGAUGGGGAGCGAAAUUUAGUAGCGAAGUAGCUGAUUUCACACUGUCAAGAAAAGUCUCUAUCGAGGUUAAAGGUACCCGUACCGCAAACCGACACAGGUGGGUGAGGAGAGUAUCCUAAGGCCAGCGAGAGAACUGUUGUUAAGGAACUCGGCAAAAUGACCCCGUAACUUAGGGAUAAGGGGUGCCACCAUCAGGUGGCCGCAGAGAAUAGGCCCAAGCGACUGUUUACCAAAAACAUAGGUUUCUGCUAAGUCGCAAGACGAUGUAUAGGAGCUGACGCCUGCCCGGUGCUGGAAGGUUAAGGGGAUCUGUUAGAGCAAUCGAAGCAGUGAACUUAAGCCCCAGUAAACGGCGGCCGUAACUAUAACGGUCCUAAGGUAGCGAAAUUCCUUGUCGGGUAAGUUCCGACCCGCACGAAAGGCGUAACGAUUUGGGCACUGUCUCAACAACAGACUCGGUGAAAUUGUAAUUCCGGUGAAGAUGCCGGAUACCUGCGACAGGACGGAAAGACCCCAUGGAGCUUUACUGUAGCUUGACAUUGGGUCUUGGUACUACAUGUACAGGAUAGGUGGGAGGCUUUGAAACCAGGACGCCAGUUUUGGCGGAGCCAUCCUUGGGAUACCACCCUUGUAGUACUGGGACUCUAACCAUAGGCCAUGAAUCUGGUCUUGGGACACUGUCAGGUGGGCAGUUUGACUGGGGCGGUCGCCUCCCAAAAGGUAACGGAGGCGCUCAAAGGUUCUCUCAGUACGGUCGGAAAUCGUACGUAGAGUGUAAAGGCAAAAGAGAGCUUGAUUGCAAGACAUACAGGUCGAGCAAGGAUGAAAAUCGGACUUAGUGAUCCGGUGGUUCUGCGUGGAAGGGCCAUCGCUCAACGGAUAAAAGCUACCCUGGGGAUAACAGGCUUAUCUCCCCCAAGAGUCCACAUCGACGGGGAGGUUUGGCACCUCGAUGUCGGCUCAUCACAUCCUGGGGCUGUAGUAGGUCCCAAGGGUUGGGCUGUUCGCCCAUUAAAGUGGUACGCGAGCUGGGUUCAGAACGUCGUGAGACAGUUCGGUCCCUAUCCAUCGCAGGCGUAGGAAAUUUGAGAAGACCUGUCCUUAGUACGAGAGGACCGGGAUGGACGUACCUCUGGUGUACCAGUUGUCCUGCCAAGGGCAUGGCUGGGUAGCUAUGUACGGAAUGGAUAAGCGCUGAAAGCAUCUAAGCGCGAAGCCAACUUCAAGAUAAGAUUUCCCACCGCAAGGGUAAGACCCCAGAAAGACUAUCUGGUUGAUAGGUCGAAGGUGUAAGUGCAGCAAUGUAUUUAGCUUAUCGAUACUAAUAGGUCGAGGACUUGACCAAU
Molecule: ribosomal RNA, 2901 nt
Filed under: Clostridioides difficile
Lineage: Bacteria; Bacillati; Bacillota; Clostridia; Peptostreptococcales; Peptostreptococcaceae
Description: 23S ribosomal RNA
Rfam family: Bacterial large subunit ribosomal RNA
Source: RNAcentral